Molecule: ribosomal RNA, 301 nt
Filed under: uncultured bacterium
Lineage: Bacteria
Description: partial 16S ribosomal RNA
Rfam family: Bacterial small subunit ribosomal RNA
Source: RNAcentral
CAGUCGCCGCGGUAAGACAGAGGUCCCGAGCGUUGUUCGGAUUCAUUGGGCGUAAAGGGUGUGUAGGAGGUUGGGUAAGUCAGGUGUGAAAUCUCACGGCUUAACUGUGAAACUGCGCUUGAUACUGCUCAGCUAGAGGAUCGGAGGGGGUAACGGAAUUUAUGGUGUAGCAGUGAAAUGCGUAGAUAUCAUAAGGAACACCGGUGGCGAAGGCGGUUACCUGGAAGAUUCCUGACUCUGAAACACGAAAGCCAGGGGAGCAAACGGGAUUAGAUACCCCAGUAGUCCCUGUCUCUUAUAC